UCCAACAUGCCCCUAAAAAGGCGCAGCCUUGUGGGGCAGCCAGGGGGGACGUCCCGGCUUGGCCAGACUCACCUCCGGACCCUGGGGUUGACCCGUGUGUGACUGCCAUGUUCACGGUGCCCUCGGGGAGAGCGGACAGUCCCGAGGCUGGGCUGCGAGGACCGAUCGCUAACCAGCUAAGGACCCACCUGCACCUGGGGUGAGAGAAGCCUGCCAGCAGCUCCUCAUGCCAAAACCUCCAGACGUGGUGAGCGGCGCGAUGAGAGGAGGCAUCCAAGGCCACCCAGCCCUCCGUGGUCCUGUCCACCCUCCGAGCCACCAGGGGAGGAAGCAGGAGCCACAGCAGGCCCUUCCACAAGGGUGUAAAAGUCCCCAACAAAGUGCCGUCCGCGAACUCCAGUAACGUUUCUCAAGAAGAGAAGACACACAGCAAGGAGGCGGCUGAUCUGAGGAGGCAGGGCGGGUUCAAGUAAGACCUGACCUUCGCCAUGACCUUGGAGCACGCCCUGGCUGGACCCCCCCUCUCGUGGCUCAUCUUCUGGCUCACUGACCCUCGGUGGCUUCCAUUCUGUUACUGUCGCACCUCCCACUUCCUGCCACAGGGCCUUUGUAGCUGCUGUCGCCCGCUGCUUGAAAAUCCUCUGGCUACCUUGGGUUGGCUGCUUCUUUACUGUCUCCCAGCUUGUCCCUCAUCCAGCUGCUCUGGGGCCCCUGCUGAGUUCCUUGGUGACAUUCCCUCUCAUGCAGGGAUGAGCUCACCUCAGUCUGUAAUGGUCUCCUUUUUGCUCUCUUGUUGGCUCCUUGCCCUCCCCGGUGGUAAACGCCCCCAAAAGAAGAUUCUCGUCUGUCUCUCGUUGCUAAGUGCCAGCACGGCACCCAGCCCUGCGUGCCAGGAACUUAAGAGGCACUUAAUACAUACUUAUUAAGUGAACAAAUGGCUACCUGGCCAUUUUGGACCUUUCACUGAUGGCUCCUAUCAAGGAGGGGAAGGAAAAUUCCCAGUCCAGGGCUGGACCCAGC
Sciurus carolinensis (gray squirrel) is the source of this 1020-nucleotide long non-coding RNA. RefSeq lists it as uncharacterized. The record is from RefSeq and is a predicted model, not a curated record. The transcript has 3 exons. NCBI's taxonomy places the organism in Eukaryota, Metazoa, Chordata, Mammalia, Rodentia, Sciuridae.